This is a long non-coding RNA of Brienomyrus brachyistius, 9575 nucleotides long. RefSeq lists it as uncharacterized. NCBI's taxonomy places the organism in Eukaryota, Metazoa, Chordata, Actinopteri, Osteoglossiformes, Mormyridae. The record is from RefSeq and is a predicted model, not a curated record. The transcript has 6 exons.
CGCACCACCUCUGCGCAGCUCCCAGUCAGCUCCGGGCACUCCGCCUGGCGCUCGGCGCUGCAGCUGGGGCACCGGAAUACCACCUCCCCGGACAGGUCGACCCGACGCACGGCCAGGCUCAGCAUUAAGGCAGGCCAAAAGUAAUUGGACAAUCGCAGAAUCAUUACCAUGGUGAAGAGAAAUCCCUUCGUAACAGCCAACCAAGUGAACAACACUCUCCAGGACGUGGACAUAUCAAUAUCCAAGUCUACCAUAAAGAGAAGACUGCAUGAAAGCAAAUACAGAAUGUUCAUGCAAGAUGCAAGCCACUCAUAAGCCUUAAGAACAGAAAGGCUAGAUUUGACUAUGCAAAAACACAUCUAAAAAGCCAGCACAGUUCUGGAACAGCAUUCUUUGGACAGAUGAAACCAACAUCAACCUGUAUGAGAAUGACGGAAAGUAAAAAGUAUGGAGAAGGGCUGGAACAGUUUAUGAUCCAAAGAACAUCGUAUCAUCUAUAAAACAUGGUGGAGGCAGUGUGAUGGCUUGGGUGUGCAUGGCUGCCAGUGGCACUGGGUCUUUAGUGUUUCUUGAUGAUGUGACACAGGAUGGAAGCAGCCGAAUGAAUGCUGAGGUGUUCAGAGACAUCAUGUCUGCUCAAAUGCAGCCAAAUUGAUUGGCCGGCGUUUCAUAAUGCAGAUGGACAAUGACCCAAAACACACAUCAAAAGCAACCCAGGACUUUAUUAAAGCAAAGAACUGGAAUAUUCUCUAAUGACCAGGUCAGUCACCUGAUCUGAACCCCAUUGAGUAUGCAUUUCACUUACUAAAGACUAAACUACAGACAGAAAGACCCUCAAACAAACAGCAACUGAAAGCUGCUGCAGUAAAGGCCUGGCAGAGCAUUAAAAAGGAGGAAACCCAGCGUCUGGUCAUGUCCAUGAGUUCAAGACUUCAGGCAGUCAAUGCCUGCAAAGGGUUUUCAACUAAGUAUUAGAAUUGAAUAUUUUAUUUGCAGUUAUAUUAAUUUGUCCAAUUACUUAUGAGCUCCUGAAAGGUGGGGAUUGUGCAGAAAAAUUUCUUUAGUUCCUCACAUUUAGUUCCCCACAUUUUUAUGCAAUGUUUUUGUUCUACCCACUGAAUUAAAGCUGAAAGUUUAAAAAUUAUUGUGGUAAUGUACAGAACUUAAAAAUGGAAAAACUUUGUCUCUGUCCAAAUAUUUAUGGUCCAGACUGUAUCUCAUGGAUAUAAGUUUAACCAUUUACAUCACUUCCAGAUGCAACCGGAAUGCACAAACAUCGGGUCGUUAAAAAAAGGCAUGGCUUGCAAAUAGUUUAUUUUUGGAAGUUAACCAACCCCUCUGCCUUUUAGAAUACUAUGCCAGUCUCUGAACUAUGGGUACAGGGAAUGCAAAAUUGGCAAAUUUUGGUCAUGAUGUGUAGCCAAACAUUAAACUGAUAUUUGUCAGGGUCAGCAACUGUCCGACCCCGCCCUACGUGUCCCCUACCCAUUAAGCCAGCAGGUGUUGCUGGCCAUCCUGUCCUCUUCCCUGUUUUCUUGCCCUUCAGCCCCAGUUUGCCUAAAUUUCUAGUGUGUUUUCACUGUUCCACAAACUGCUAAAUAGGUCAGUGUGGUUCUGAUACUGUUCCCUUGUGUUGUGGGUUUGAGGCUGGCUUGAGACCAGUCUCACCUGUUUUGUUUCCUGGAUUUUUGUUCUCUAUUGUUUAUUUUGUGUUUUCUUAUUCUCAAGUUUCCCCAGGUUUAUUGUGGAUAUUUCUGUGUAUUCUUGUUUCUGGUAUUUUCUGGUGGCGUUUCCCCUAGUACUUGCUGUAGAUUUUUGCUUUGUAGAUGUUUGUUAAUUCUCUUAGUUUUCUGUGUUCUUAGGAUUAUUCUGUCCACCUGUUUCUCAUUGCUCCUUUGUCUCCCUUGAUUGGUUCAUUGAUUAAGUUACACUUGUUCCCUGUUUUCCCUAGAUGUUGGUGUAUAUAAGUGCCUUCCCUCACUCUGCGCUUUAGUCUGCCAUUGUCAUGGUGAAAUGUUGCCAUGUGCUUUGGUCCUUGUACCUGGUUCCCAGUUCUGCUGUCUGUGUUGCUCUGCUCCUUAGUUGUUUUUCCCUUAUGGAUUUUGUAGCUUGUUUUACUUUUAAGUUCUGUUAUAAUUUUAUGAGCCCUCGUGGUCCUUUAUUUUCUGUGAUUCCCAGUGUUCUGUACUACAAAACCGCUUAUUGUUUUUAAGUUGCAAGUAGAUCAUCACAUCUCUUCCUGCUCGUACUAUGCCCUGAAUCUGUAACAGAUAUUAUUUUGCAACUCUGGUGUUAACAUGUGGUUUCCUGACACUCGCUAUAAUCUGAAUUAUGUAUCUAUGGUGCAGUUAUAGGGUGUGGUCUCUACACACAGCGCACUGUUUCUGCGUCUUCUCAGAAGCUGCCACUGGCUUAAAUUAGCCUGUUGGUCUCGCUGGAUGUUUUUCUUGUGCAGUACAAAUGUCCCAUCAGGCUAGUAAUGGGGGGAGGGUUUCAUAUUAAUAUUGGAAUAGGGAAAAGAAUAGAACUUACAGUUUUGCUCAACACACAUUAUCAGCUGGGAUCAAAUGACGACAAAGAACUCAGAAAUCUAGAGGCAGAGAGAUCAGUGGCAUAAGGCUAUUUCUUCUGAAACACAGACCAGUAUACUAAACUGGUGAAUAAUGCAGAGCAGCUCAGCUAUAAAACCCUUCUGGAAAAUUUCAGUAAAAUUUCCAGUAGAGAAGGCACAUGUUUAGAUAAUCAAUUCCUUCAGUUGUCUGUGUGUGCGUGUAUGUGAGAAAGGGAGAGAGAGCCAAAUAAGCUGGCUCUCAAACACAGCCUUUGACCCUCCUGAAAGCACUCCCACAGGAAAAACAGCAUGUUGGGUAGGUUCCUGCGGAUUCUGGCAGUCCUGCUGUGGGCAAUACAGGGUCUAUCACCAGUAUCACCCAGGUUAAGAUCCUUUCUUGAGGGAAUAGUACUGUUCCCUUGCGGAAGGUGCUUUUGGUUACCAUUAACUACUGCACCUAACAGUUAUAUGACUAACAAAGCAUGUAAACACAUACGCAGUAACAGGCUGAUUUAUUUGCUAUUGUAUUUAUUUUUUGCUGGCAAUAGAGGUUUUGUCUCAUCCAGUUAAACUAUUUCUAAUGGUGCUGCUCCAGAUUGUUAAUGGUCCAAAGUUGCUUCAGUCCAGCUUCAGUUACCGUGGAACUAUUAACUUACUGGAACAAUGUCCCUUGGCUUAUUGUGAAGAUAUUAAUUUCCAUCACAGUCUCUUACUGUGGUGUUUACUGUAUUCAUACGCUAAUAUUCUUGGUUAUUUUUGCUGUGUUAAUUUGUUUAAUAUCUAAUGGAUUUCCAUAUUUAAUUUGUCAACCCAACAACAUGGCUGAUGUACAUGGCUAUAUAAGCAUCAUUUAGUGAUCUGCAAGGUGUCCUCUGAGGCAUAAGCUCCAUUUGCUGUGCUCUGUUGUGCUGUUACCAGGGGCAGCAUCAAAGCCACCACAUGGCCAGUGAAGGGCAGUAAGCAGUGAGCUUUGAAAUGGGCUCAGCAGGCCAGUCAUUAGCCAUGGAGAUGCUAUACAGCUACUCCUCCACAGUCACAGAAAGGCUUCUUCCUUGGUCUGAUAUCCCAAAAGCUUCCCAUCAUCUGGUUCCACUUGAGAGCAAAGCUUCCUUACAAAAACACACAUCACACACUAAUAAAAAGCGGCCGUUCCCGCUGCCUCCUGUUAAAAAAGGUUAUACGGCUAAAGGCUGCUGGGUGGUCUGUACUGCGAGCAAGACUGGGAAAUAAAGUAAGUGUCUGGUGUUCUUGUUGAACAGCUUUGCUUUCAUCUCCUUGAGAGGUACAGGGAGAGGGGAGACCGAGCUAUGGUGGUUUACCAUCUUGAGUAAUAACUUGGACUCACACCAGAGGUAGCUGGCUUUGUAUAGAUCCCAGCCCAGUCCCGCAGCACCUGGAUCUCCCCAUCUCCCCCCGAGCCAACCUGAUGUGACCGUAACAAAGGCUUUUGAUUUUUUUUCAACAAGGGCUUGAGCUAUCCCCAUAACUCACAUGUCUGCUGCCACCCGCACCAUCACUGAAGCUGUGCUGGGACCAGCGACAGUUGAUCUGCCUGGGGGUGGCUUGGACUUGCGAAGCCCACCAACCCCCCAGUUUCACACAGUUUCACCAUGUUAGUCCUUGGCCCAAGGUGUGUUUCCGGCACCAGCAUCAUUUCUUAACAACCCUACACUCAAACUAUACACUAAAACAAAACGCAAAAAAACUACUCAGCAUAUUCAGUGGGACGAGAGCCUUACUGCAGUACUAAUGGUCCCACCUGUUCACCAAUGUCAAGUUCUUAUGAAAAACUAGAAUGCUGUACAAAACUCACCAUCAGGGAUUCCACAUUACUCUAAGGUACAUGUUUCUUUGUUCCUUUACUCUAAAGGAUGUUUGUUUGUUCCUUUACUUUGCAAACACCCUAUGGAGUGUGGUCCCAUUGCUGAAUGCAGGUAUGGCUUAUCUAUGUUGCUAGCUCUGAUAGACAGGGAUCCGUGCAGCACAUCUGCAGCCCCUGAUCUUGGAUGACUUGUGAGAUGUCAUUCACUCUGGUUCCUGAACCAUCAAGUUAUCCUGGGGAGAUCAUUUCAUGUUCCACGUCCUGCAAUUCAGCUGUAAAAAUGACAUCGCACUCAUUCAGCCAAUGUGUUCACCAAAAAACACAGUUUCCUUUUUUUCUGGUAGUUUUUAUAUCACUGCAUCUGGUCCUCAAAAGAAAUAACGUGUUUCUUUACUUAAUGUCAUCGUCAGAUGUGAUGAUUGUGAAUGAUUUCUUUUAGUGUUGACACUGAAAGAUCAAACACGGAAUAUAAGCGGUAUAACUUGAGAAGGGAGCGUCAUUGUGCACGACAUAUGUGGGUGUAUCUCAUUUAGCUUUCAUGACUCACGUCUCAUAUCAAGGUCACGUUUUAAAGUGAUUCUUCUUGAAAAGGAGUGAUGGCCCGAUUUUAACACAUGGCUGAAUCCAGAAGCAAGCCGUUUUCCGUCUCGCUGACGGGUGAUUCAUGCAGUUUGACUGCAACAGAGCAGCUUCACCACAAAUCCUGGUGGCGGUGUUAUUCUUUAAUGUCUACAUCCAAAAGCUCCUACAUCUUAAUUUGUAUGUACAAUGUAAAAUCUGUCAUAUAAAAAAUACCUCCCUAUUAUACAUGCCAGUUUUCUUCAGUGCUUUAUCUGGUGGGGGGGGAAAGUGCCCAACCCUCCCUUCUGCCUGCAGGUGAGCUGUAGUCAAAUAUGCCUGCUGCCAUAGUGACUCACACAGAACUUGGAGAAAUGCACAAGUCAUAUGACACACAACCAUCGGGUGCAUCAUCACAAUGACCAAAGCCCACGCCAAACACACCAGCACAUCGACCAGUGGCUAUAUGGCUUGGGUUUUCGGUGACCAUUAAGGUCGUCACAGAUGCAACCCUUGUGACUCGCACCAUGUCACCCUCAUUGCACAUCGCCCAAUGUCCCCACAAUUUCUUUCAGGAGGAUAAGUAAAACAGGAGGAAAAAAAGGUAAACAGACAGGGUACAGAGUGGGCAGGACACACCGGGCCUCCUGGAGGCCUAGCUGACAGCCUGGGAUUCUUUGCAGCCAUCCAAUCACAACUACAACAAGAAAACAGCAACAACAACAACACCAAGAAACAAAAGCUCUCUCACACAAAUCUCACAUACACAAACACACAUGGUCUUCAGGCAGAGUCAUUGUCUGUUUGCAACACAUUCAGACAGAAACCUACAGUGCGAUAUACUGUAUCACUACUUUGAACCUCUGUAUGGGUAUUGCACAAGUGUCAUUGAUUGUUCUCCUCUAGAAAUUAUUGUUCCUUCUAUCAAUUGGCCAGCAUUAGCAUAUUGCUUCUUCUGAUUGCUAUGCUGUUACCGCCCUUGCAGAGCAUGUAGUUAUACAGGCAUAUGGAGUUCGUCGUAUUCAUCCCUGCCGUCUUCGUCGAAGUUGGGGGAGUCCUCGUCAGAGUCCAGCUGAAAUCAUCCAAAUACAGGGACUUAAUAUGCUACAGGACCAUCUAAGUUCCAGUCUGAAGGUGCAGCAAGGCAUGAUGGGCCAGAGCUGUUUCCAUGGUUUCCCAGCAACGUGACAGAAAGCAAGAAGCUCCACCCACCGCUUUGAGCUCCCGCUCCUUGAAUAUCCGUGUGAGGACUAGGCGACGUAGUGGCACGGUCAGGAUAAGGACAAAUGGGAAGGCCAGAGAUGCCACCGUCGACUUGACUACCCACAGCAGCAUGAUGCACGUGAGCUGGAUGACCGUGAACAUGUUCAUACGCCAGGUUUUAACCUGCAAAUCACGACACAAAGGGAUAUACACAGACUCUCGCACAGACACCGCAUGCAGGGAUGCUGUCAUGUUCACACCUCCUAAACUACAUGGUUCUGCAUGACUCCUCUGAUUAGGGGGGUUGUUUGUGGAUGUGAAAAUGGAUUGGGCACCACCUAGUGGCUCCUACUAUGUACAACACUGUGUAAUAAGGUUUGCUGUGUGCUGGUUAGGGACGGCACCUUGGUGACGUAGACAUGGUCUGGGUGGUGCUUGGCUGGUGUGACCAUCAACAUGACACGCUCAUACAGUUGGAUGCCCGUCAGGGAGGUGACACCCAUGUACAGGAAGAUGCCGAAUAUCACAGCCAAGGGGAUGUGGCAUAGCACGUUGGUCAUGACACCAGACAUGCCUGAGAGAGAGCAGGAGGGAUGGCUUGUCAGGAGAUCACAUCUCUCAGGAGACUGGAACUGCUCCCUGAAAAGCUGCUUGAAAAUGGCUAAAUAACAGGGAAAUGUUACACGCCUCAAGAGAACAUCAUCACAGACAAAGGCGAUGCUAAGAACACAAUCCAACAAGCACUGAAGAGCCCCCUGCAGAAUAUAAAUACAUUUUGUUCUGACUGAUAGGUCAAACAGACCUUCUUUACUCAAAAGGAACACUAGAUGUCAGUAUAGUUGAGAGGUAGCACUUACCCAUGAGUAGGGCGACAGCCAUGCCGGUGAGCCUCUGUUCUUUGACCUCCUGGAUGACAGGCCUCUCGCCAGGGGCUGUGGUAGUGCUCAUGACUGUGAGGGCAUUGACGUGGGUGAUGGAGCGAAGAGUGGCAGCUGUGAGCCAGGGCAGGCCGAAGAGUGGGCAGAGCGCCCCCAGCAGGAUAAUCAGCAGCAGAUCCAAGUGGAAACCUGAACCCUUCACCAGGUUGUGCAGAUCCAUUGGGCUUGAAGUGGGAUGGUGUGUGUUAAGUUUGGGGAAACACACACUCACGAGGUGAUCUGGGUUUCCAUGAAGAUGAGGAUGAAAACCAGAAGGGCAGGGACAAUGGAGGCGGCCAUCAUCCAGAUGGGAAAGAUCUGCUUGUCUCCAAAUGGACUGAUGAACCAGCCACGCUUGUCAGGAGAUGUGACUGAGAAUCCUGUGGGCACAUUCAGCUUCUGCCACAGCAAUGAGACCACAAAACAAAAAGAGUUAUAGCCACUCAUGACACUCUUAUGGAACAUGCCCUGUAUGCAUGAGAGCCUCAAUUGGGUUUAAGAACCUGUGUGUCAGCAUCUGGAAUGACGUAAUCCAUAAUGACGGAACACAGGAUGGAGAUCGGAAUCCCAAAGUCACCGAUGAUUCGCCUGGCCUGCAAAGUAGAAUAAUGAACCCAUUCAGGCAGUCAAAAGAUGUCAAGAUUGGUUCCUGUCCUGCCCUGACCAAUAUGUCAUUUCCAUUUUUAGCCAGCAGGUGUUGCUGGUCACCCCAUCUCCCAUUAUUUCAAAGGUUUGUUUUAGUUCCCAGUAUCUGCUCUUGUUUCUUGGGCUGCCAUGUGGCUCAAUUAGCUGCGUGUGCAACUAUGUAAAAGGUAUCUCUACUUCUGGAGUUCACAGCUAGCUAAAGUUCAAUAAAGUCAACCUGAAUCAUCUGUUUGUCACCAUGCCCAUCUGCAACAGUAGAAACGUCAAACAGCUCCCAGUGAGUCACACCAUACCUUCCCUCCCAAGAAGCGGCUGUUCCGGAACUUUCUGAAGAAGAAGGCCACAAAGAAGGUGCCCAGAACAAGCACCAGAGACAAAAGGGCUGUGUUGGGUUGUGUGCCUUGGGCACUGGGGUUUACUUCAAUGUCCAACUCCCAGGAAUUGUUGGAGAAGCCCAGGGAAGAAGGAGAGCUGGGCAAGGGGUUAUUUCUCACGAAUGGAUGCUCCUGAAACACCUGGAAAUUGGGUGAGGACACAGGAUCAGGCGUUCACAAAUAACAGAAGGAUCAGUAAUUUCACAUCCCAAGCCUCUGCACUCAUGGUGGGAGUUAUUUCCAGGGCUUGACCUUACCUUUAUGAGUUUGGAGAAAGACUCAAAGAUAAAUAUGAGAGAAAUAAGGAAUGCAAAGAUUUCCUGGGUGAAGGGAGAGAUGUAGCGAACCAGGAAGCUUCCCUCUGCAGCUACAAUGAUCAGCACAAUGAAGAUAAGCCAGAAGCCAAUCCAUACCCGGCCAGUCAGGUACUCAAGACCCUGAGCCUGGCAGAACUGGGACACAAGAAGGCUUCCUCAAACACUAGCAGAGGACCAGAAAAACCAAUGAUGAGCAGAGGCUGGCCUGCCAGGAGGGAGAAGAUCACCCCUAGGACAGCAGUGGAGAUGAUCAGCUCAGACACACCCAUCAGACCCUCUGUCUUCUCACCUGUAAGAACAGUAGGCAGCAAUGGAGCAUCUCCCUCUGGAAUGAGGCCACAGUUUUCAGAAGGUCCUUCCCCUCCACGUCUGAAGGAGGAAGGACAAUGCUACAGUCCAAGAACUCAUUGAUGCCACUGAGGAGGUCCUGUCGAUCGUCGGCAAAGUAGGCCACCUCAUGGAAAUUCUAGCAGGGUUUCAACAACAUAACAUAUUGUCACAUUUAAAGUCAGAGGAACGGCGUAUAAAAUAUAAAAUACCAUUGAUGAAAAUGAGAUAUUAAUUAAGAAUAAGAAAUUGAAAGGGCCACCUUAUCAGACAUGAGAGUUGAGAUGGACCGGCCAAUCUCAUGAUAAUCCAUACUGGACUCGGCAGGACCCAGUAGCACGAAGAGGAAACGCACAGGAACUGGUACCUCCAGGAUGGACUCCAGCAGCACCGCCUCACUAAGCCGCACAAAGGCUGAGGCUGGCUGCUCCAAGAACUCCACACAGCCUGUUAAAUCACAUAACAUGUCAGAUGAUCCAGCGCCAAAGGUGCAUCCAAGCAGGAAGGCUACAGAGGCCAUACAGUAGGGCUGCAGACAGAAUUGCAAGGUCAACCCAAACACAGCAGAGCUGAACCCAAGCACAAGAUGAACCCAAAUACAAAAGAGGUAAACCAAAACACCAGUGGGAUGAAGCCAAACUCAGCAGAGGUGAAGCCAAACACAAGACAGAUAAACGCAAGCACAACAGAAGCGACUCCAAACACAGCAGAGCUGAACCCAAACACAGCCCAAUCAAUACCAGAUAUGUGGGUUUGCAUUACAGGUCAUCAUUGACUUAAGACCGCAUAAGUCAUUGUAUUUUAUAUGCAAAAAAUAUCAUUUGUACAGUAUAGUGUACAAUAAAAUUAUAUCAUCUUUAA